This 492-nucleotide ribosomal RNA is filed under the name uncultured bacterium. RNAcentral describes it as "partial 16S ribosomal RNA". It matches the Rfam family "Bacterial small subunit ribosomal RNA", at positions 29 to 507 of the family's 1533-position model. The record is from RNAcentral.
AGUGAACGCUGGCGGUAGGCCUAACACAUGCAAGUCGAACGGCAGCACAGUAAGAGCUUGCUCUUACGGGUGGCGAGUGGCGGACGGGUGAGGAAUACAUCGGAAUCUACUUUUUCGUGGGGGAUAACGUAGGGAAACUUACGCUAAUACCGCAUACGCCCUACGGGUGAAAGCAGGGGAUCUUCGGACCUUGCGGGAUUGAAUGAGCCGAUGUCGGAUUAGCUAGUUGGCGGGGUAAAGGCCCACCAAGGCGACGAUCCGUAGCUGGUCUGAGAGGAUGAUCAGCCACACUGGAACUGAGACACGGUCCAGACUCCUACGGGAGGCAGCAGUGGGGAAUAUUGGACAAUGGGCGCAAGCCUGAUCCAGCCAUACCGCGUGGGUGAAGAAGGCCUUCGGGUUGUAAAGCCCUUUUGUUGGGAAAGAAAAGCAGCAGGUUAAUACCCCGCUGUUCUGACGGUACCCAAAGAAUAAGCACCGGCUAACUUCGUG